Sarcophilus harrisii (Tasmanian devil) is the source of this 829-nucleotide long non-coding RNA. RefSeq lists it as uncharacterized. The record is from RefSeq and is a predicted model, not a curated record. The transcript has 3 exons. Lineage: Eukaryota; Metazoa; Chordata; Mammalia; Dasyuromorphia; Dasyuridae.
UGCUUCGGCAUAUUUCAGAAUAUUUUUCUCCCGACACUUGAAGAAAACACAACUACAAACUGUGCAGGCCGCAUGUCUGAGUUCUGUGCCAGGAUGGAGAAGGAAAAUCAAAACUACAGUUGAAGGCCGACAUGCUGGUUAAGCUGGCCACUUGCAUUUUAGACCUAUGGCUUGCCUUGGCUGUUUCAACUACUCUGUAUGCGAUUUUUUUAAUGGUGGCCAGCUUCUUCAUUUUCUUAUUUUCUAUUUCCAUUUUUUCACUGGAGAGCAAAAGAAUACUGAAUUCCAGCAAGAGAAGAAUCUAGAUUCUAAGGUCCAGCAACACAAGUGGGAAGAAAUUUCAGAGAAAUUUGUCACAGGAUGCUUUUUAUCUUUUUUGUCAACAGAAAUCAGUUCUGACAAAGGAAUAUUCACUAUCUGGAAAGAAAAAAAGAAUUCAUUUCAUCCAACGAGGACUUUCUCAGGACUUUGAGAAAUUUAAUCAAAAAUAACAUGGAUCUAAAAAGAUGAUCUUCAGAAUCUCCCUAAGACAAUUCAGAUGCAAGUGUUUCAGUUUCCUGGAAUGACACUGGUUGACUGUUAAGGUUUCAGAGGUAUAAAAAGAUGAAGUCAGCACAAUAGCUGUUGACCAUUAGUUUGGUCUUAUUUUCAAUAUUUUCUUUGGAACCUUCCCUACACCGAACUAGUUCUGGCAUAAUUAACCUCAUCAUCUGUGUGUACAUCCCUGGGAAGUAUACUGCUAAGAGUCAUCAAAGUCCAAUGAAAAAUCAAAAUCAAGGCAACUGACCAUGGUUUGGGAAACAGCUGGUGACCUUGGAAUCUUUGCUGU